CCUUACCAAGGCUUGACAUAUACAGGUAUACGUCAGAGAUGUCGUAGCGGUUAAACGUCUGUAUACAGGUGGUGCAUGGUUGUCGUCAGCUCGUAUCGUGAGAUGUUGGGUUAAGUCCCGCAACGAGCGCAACCCUCGUUCUGUCUUGCCAGCAUUUAGUUGGGGACUCACAGGAGACUGCCGGGUUAACUCGGAGCAAGCUGGGGAUGACGUCAAAUCAUCAUGCCCCUUAUGUCUUGGGAUGCACGCAUGCUACAAUGGCUGGUACAAAGGGCUGCAAUACUGCAAAGUGGAGCGAAUCCCAGAAAGCCAGUCUCAGUUCGGAUUGGGGUCUGCAACUCGACCCCAUGAACUCGGAGUAGCCAGUAAUCGUAGAUCAGCAACGCUACGGUGAAUACGUUCCCGGGGCUGUACACACCGCCCGUCACAUCAC
This 433-nucleotide ribosomal RNA is filed under the name uncultured Actinomycetes bacterium. RNAcentral's name for it is "bacterial SSU rRNA". It matches the Rfam family "Bacterial small subunit ribosomal RNA", at positions 969 to 1405 of the family's 1533-position model. The record is from RNAcentral. Lineage: Bacteria; Bacillati; Actinomycetota; Actinomycetes.